This is a long non-coding RNA of Polistes dominula (European paper wasp), 1698 nucleotides long. The record is from RefSeq and is a predicted model, not a curated record. Lineage: Eukaryota; Metazoa; Arthropoda; Insecta; Hymenoptera; Vespidae.
CUUUAAGACCGGAGCGCCCUCGUGAGGAUGCGAUUCCCGUCUAAUGGUGACGGCCCUGUGUGCACUACGUCCUCCUCGUCGUCUACCGUCUCGUCGUCGUCGCGUGUCAUCGUCGUCGUCGUCGUGGUACCUCGUGCAAGCGCGCGUAUUAGCAGAGAGAGACCAACCUACCGGUGGUAGUCUCUUAGUGGUGGGGAUGAUUCCGCGAACGAGCCACCUACAGUCGUCGCGAGCGAGAGCGGAGCAGCAUUGCUUGUUGGACCGUCGACUAGGUCGGAUUGUUCAACUUAACAUCAUUUCUACGUGAUUUUUUAUGAUCUAGAUUCCUCUUUUUACCAAUUCAAAUGUUGUUUUCCCUCUUUAUGCAAUUAUAGAUACAUUUAAACAAAAAAUAAAUUAUAUUCCAUCGAAUUUGUUUGUAAUUAUGAAGUUUAUCUUUUUACAAUUCUUACGAAUACUGUUCAUCAAUAUACGUGCGUGAAAUCUGGUUCUGUUGUGAAAGAGAAAAAGACUAAGUGCAUAAUAUUUGGAAUCGACUAACGAUACAACAGUGCAUCGCGAGUGAAGAAGAAUCCGAUAAUUAGUGUUUGUAGGUCAACCAUUUUGGUGAACUCUAAUGGACAAGAUAGAAAACGCUAAUGGUACAAUCCCGUUGACGGGCAGGCACCGUAGAAUGAGUCACGCUUGUCUCGUUCCCCGUUAUUUUAUUAAUCGAGUAGUCGUCGAGGAGGCCGUACUCGAGUAGUAGCUCGAUCGCAAAAGUAAGAGAACGAUCGUUUACUCUCCAGGAAAAUUAGAAUCAACGCAACGCGAAUUGGUCUACCACCAAUCCCCGCCAUCAUCGUUGAAUACUAUGUCAUUUUCUUGACUUCUAAUAUUUUCAAGACGACAACAACAACGUAUCGCAUUCUUCCUUUAAAAGCUACGUGAGAAAAUCCGCCAAUGGGAAGAGUUGAAGAAGAAGAAGAAGAAGAAGAAGAAGGUGGAAGAUCGUCGUACAAUGUAAAAGCAAGGCGCCAGAGCAAGCAAGAAAUUUUACGCUUGACUUGACGCCAUCGUUCCACAACCUCUAAACUUCUCUCCUUUUCGUCCUUUCUCCUUCACAAAUUCAACCAAACGAUUCAUCAUUGAUUCCACGAUCAAAUAAAAAACAAAUCUACCGACAAAUUUUCGUGUUUUCUUUUAUCAUAGAAAUUUACUUACGAAUAAGAAAAAUCAAAGUUCAUUGGCGAGGACGUUUCACAUGGAAGAAUCGUUUUUCUGGAGCAUCCUAAAAUAACAGGCUACUUGGUUUGAAGACGUUUCAGUCGGUAAGUCAACAACAUCCAAAGAGAUUAUUUCACGAGUAGCAAGUAGAUCUAUUCUCAGUGAGACGAAGAAUGUCGCGAGCAGCGUGAUUGCCGUUCGUUGGGUUCCGCAAAAGAUCGGUAACACAGCCGACAUUGCGCCGAGUCGCAGGAGGACACUGCCCUGAAAAGUGACGACCUCUAUUCCUACGCUUCGUCGUUGUUGAUGUCCAACUGCGACUACGACUACGACUACGACGACAACGACAACGACAACGGCAACGAUAUUAAACCGGACGUAUCGUUACGAUCUUGCUACUAUCCUAAUCUUUUUCAUCACAGAUUGUGACAACAAAUAUUCUCCCUUGCAUCAUUGUAUAUCACAAGCAACAACUUAGCGAAACUUACAACA